RNAcentral lists this ribosomal RNA (253 nucleotides) under uncultured bacterium. Its description in RNAcentral is "partial 16S ribosomal RNA". It matches the Rfam family "Bacterial small subunit ribosomal RNA", at positions 524 to 776 of the family's 1533-position model. The record is from RNAcentral.
UACAGAGGGGGCAAGCGUUGUUCGGAAUUACUGGGCGUAAAGGGCGCGUAGGCGGCCUUCUAAGUCGAACGUGAAAUCCCCGGGCUCAACCCGGGAACUGCGUCCGAUACUGGAAGGCUUGAAUCCGGGAGAGGGAUGUGGAAUUCCAGGUGUAGCGGUGAAAUGCGUAGAUAUCUGGAGGAACACCGGUGGCGAAGGCGGCAUCCUGGACCGACACUGACGCUGAGGCGCGAAAGCUAGGGGAGCAAACGGG